Molecule: non-coding RNA, 819 nt
Organism: Cyanistes caeruleus (blue tit)
Lineage: Eukaryota; Metazoa; Chordata; Aves; Passeriformes; Paridae
Source: RefSeq, a predicted model, not a curated record
GCCUCCAGUGUAAUUGUUUUACAAAUUGCUUGCUGGGUCUAUUGGUGGGUCUUGCUUUUAACAUAUGCUUUGCUUUUUUCUGUUUUACACUUUAAUAUUUUGAAAUGUCUUUUGCUUGAGUUGCUCCCUUUAAUCUGUGGACAAUUUAACGGAUAAUUUAGGGAUCUGUGUCCCAGCCAUUGUUUACAGAUGUACAGGCUGGGUUUAGAUGUUUCCCUUAAUCUGUUAUACUGCCAGUCUUAAUGAAGUAUAGAUUGAUUAUGAUUUUCAAGAAACAGUGCCAGAGGCCAUAUCCCUUUUAGAAAGGAAAGCCAUUGAAAGUUCUUAUGCUGCCCUUCAGCUCUGAAGGUUAUUUCAUAACCAGUUGAAAAACUUCAGUCAAAACCUGGUGCCAGAUAAGAAGUGAUGCCUUGGCCUGGCACUGACAAGUGUAUACCAUUGACUUCCCUGUUUAAGGCUCCUCUCCUUUGAAAAGAUUGCCAGUGCAAAGCUUGCUUCAUGUGGACAAACAACCAAUGAUGUAAGAAAUCUGGUUGCUAUAAGCUCUUCUGAGGUGUUAAACUGUGGUUCAUGUGUAAACUCAACGUUUGAGAAGUCCAGAAGAAAGCCAGAAUUUCUGCUUUAGUGGGGAUUUCUAUAGGAAAAUAAAUCUUUUGCUUCCUGUGCUGAAUCAAGAACAUUUACUGGACUUGGGAUGUGCUCACUAAGCUGCAGCAGUUGAGCUCUACCAUUUAAGACAUUAAUGUACCUAAACUGACCCUCAGGAUCUGUGUUCACUUUCUAAGCUUUUCAGUAAUUAAAACAUGUCCUGAAAUGCAA